This is a long non-coding RNA of Ailuropoda melanoleuca (giant panda), 2776 nucleotides long. RefSeq lists it as uncharacterized. The transcript has 4 exons. NCBI's taxonomy places the organism in Eukaryota, Metazoa, Chordata, Mammalia, Carnivora, Ursidae. The record is from RefSeq and is a predicted model, not a curated record.
GCAUAGUAAGGUGCAGUUAGAGAAGGCAGUGUGGAUCCUUCAGACUGCAAAUAUUCAACAGCCUACAAAGCCAGGAAGUGAUGGGGAUGGUAGACCCCUCGUAGGUAGUAAUAGGAAGGUAUGGAAAGAACAGUGUGUUGGCCUUCGUGGGAACCAGAAGGAUUUGGAUUAAAGAACAGAGAAGCUCAAACCUGCUCAAAUCAUGCUGCUGUCUGUGACUCUGAUGUGGCAUUUUGAAGAGUAAAAACACAUGCUGGAAAAUUACCAAGACAAAUUCCGGAAUCUCGACACAGGAUUUUCCUUUGUGGCUAAAAGGCUGAGCUACUUUGGAAACAUUUGGAUUCCUUUUCUGCUUUAUCUGAGCUGCAAAGCAUCUCUUUUAAAGCAUAGACAUUGCAUUCUAUAUAAGGAGGAACCUUUGUGAGUUAAUCACGCAGCAUUUUCCAGGCUUGUCUAGGAGUUCCAUCAUUAAGAAAUAUGUGUUGGUAGUUAUUAUCUAACAAAAGGGAGAACAAGAGAAAUUAAAAAUCUUGUUUAAGCCUCAUGAUACGUAAUGAGCUCUAAGAUAUUCUCUUUAGCCCCAGUUCCCAUGGAAAUUAUUUAAUGCGGAGAGGGAGUUCAAACUACUGAGGAAAGCUGCAUAUUUUCAGAGCACUUAGGCAGAGAAGCAAAGCGAGAAGGGUCUGCAACUUUGGAUAGAACAUCUUGUAUUCAUGCACAUCUGCAUUCACUAUUUUUUUAAAAAGAUUUUAUUUAUUUUAGAGAGAGAGCAUGCUCGAGCAGGGGGAGGGGCAGAGGGAGAACAAGAGAUUCUCAAGCAGACUCCCACGGGGCUCAAUCCCAGAACCUUGAGAUUGCAACCUGAGCUGAAACCAAUAGUUGGACGCUUAACCAACUGAGCCACCCAGGCACCCCUGCAUUUGCUCUUCUUAAAAAGGCUUUCAGGAAGCUGGCUGAGGACAGAAGACAACAUGAUUAUUCUUCCAAUUUCAAAUUGUCACUCUACUUUGUAUCCUUUACAUACACGAUUCUAACAUGAGUUAAUACGGACAGAAAUACUUUUUUUUUUUUGGACAUUAAAGGGAAAUUGUGUGAUACGAAAAUAUCCUAACCUCAUACCAUUCUUGUGAACUCCCUGGGUAAGAAAAGGGGCUUCCCUUCAAUUCAGUGUAAGGGAAUUUUUAAAAAUUUGAAUGUUUUGGACCAGGCCCCUGGUGCAGGCCCGGUCUAGAGUGUGAUGGACACCGAGGACAGCACAGCUGUCCCCUUCUCACGAACAGUUUUCCACCUUGGCUGCGUUGCCGGCGUUCAGUGUCGAUGGAACCAAUGUUACCAUCAGCCAGUUACCGGCCUUCAGGGACAGGAGUGUGGGGCCUCAUGGUGAGGGAUAAUAAGGGCCUCAGAGCUCGAAGCUCUCAUUCCAGGGCCAGCCUUGUCUCUAAAUAAUUAUGAGGCUGUUGGCAAGGGACUGAACAUCUCUAUACCUUGUUUUUCUCAACUGCAGAACAAGAACAGCAUCAGCUAACACACAGACAUGUGAAAAAUUAAGUCAGAUGCUCAGUAUCGCUAACACCUCUUGCCCUUUCCCAUCAGUUAGCUAAACACACUGUCCCUUACAAAACACCCACUCACAAGAGAAAGGGUUCUUUAGAUUUGGCUCCCAAAUGGAGUUGACGUCUAUUUUCCCCCUUCUGUCUAUCUCUGUCUUUUUUAGUAGUAGAACUCCUCCCGUUAGAGUUUACAGGCCUACGAACAUACACGGUUCCUCUGGGCGCAGUGGUUCAGGUGACCCGACCGGGUCCUUCAGCCAAAGCUGCAGGCACGCAAGGUGGUGUAGCUCAAGAGAGUCUCUCCUUUCUGAGGCGUGUGACCAUGAAGUCCGUGGAGGAGAGCAGAGCCAAGGUAUGGCUCAAUGACUUUAUUCAAGAUCCAACACCCAGCAGGCCCAGAGCUAAAUAAACCGUGUGUGCCCUGGAUUUUUCAUCAAAGGAGCCAAGAAUUUUUUUUUUCUUUCGCAAGUUUGGAUUAGUUUCUCGCCUUUUCAACUGAAAGGGUUUUGAUGAACACUUCCAAGGGUGCAGAUCAAUGGAGGGCAGGGGGAAGUAAAAAUUUAAAUUUGAAGUAAGAUUAUUUUUACCUGAAAACUUUUUCUUUAGAGGGUCCAUAUAUUGCAUUAAUUCUUUAAUACAUUUAGAACAAAAUAAUCAAGAUGAUCACUUUAAAAAUCUCUUGCAUUGGAGUCAUGAUGUAAGAAGCCCCAAAGCACCCUGCAUUGUGAGGACAGCAGCACCGACAAUAUCAUCUGAAGCAUGUGUGGAAUAGCUGUGCAUUGCCGCCAGAAGAGAGCACUGGAGCUGUCUGCGUUGGGCAUCCACGGAAAGAAGUGAGCAUUUUUGGAAUCUCGGAAAACACUUUUUUUUUUUUUUUUAUUAAAUUUUCUCCACCACAGCAUCUCAACACCUUCCUUAAGAGACAGACAAAAGAAAGUCCGGUUAAAAGCUGUCUGCAAAGUGGAAAUGGUUAACAGAAAUGAAAAUCGGAUCCUUUCAUGGAUUAAUGUCACUGAAGAUUGUCCCUGACUCCAACAACCUCGGCAGCAAACCUGGUUUCAUUACACACAUGGGCGCCUACGUGCGUGCACACACAAUCCAGAUGUGAACUCCUUGAAAUCACGGAUUUUGCCUCUUUUCUCCCCAACGGAAUUUCUACUGCUUGCAACAAUCUUGUGUAUCUGACACAUAAAAAAUGUUCAAUAAAUACUUACUAAAAAAACUGA